AACUCCUACGGGAGGCAGCAGUGGGGAAUAUUGCACAAUGGGGGAAACCCUGAUGCAGCGACGCCGCGUGAGCGAAGAAGUAUUUCGGUAUGUAAAGCUCUAUCAGCAGGGAAGAUAAUGACGGUACCUGACUAAGAAGCCCCGGCUAACUACGUGCCAGCAGCCGCGGUAAUACGUAGGGGGCAAGCGUUAUCCGGAUUUACUGGGUGUAAAGGGAGCGUAGACGGCAAGGCAAGUCUGAUGUGAAAACCCAGGGCUUAACCCUGGGACUGCAUUGGAAACUGUCUGGCUCGAGUGCCGGAGAGGUAAGCGGAAUUCCUAGUGUAGCGGUGAAAUGCGUAGAUAUUAGGAAGAACACCAGUGGCGAAGGCGGCUUACUGGACGGUAACUGACGUUGAGGCUCGAAAGCGUGGGGAGCAAACAGGAUUAGAUACCCUGGUAGUCCACGCCGUAAACG
This 457-nucleotide ribosomal RNA is filed under the name uncultured bacterium. RNAcentral describes it as "bacterial SSU rRNA". It matches the Rfam family "Bacterial small subunit ribosomal RNA", at positions 334 to 808 of the family's 1533-position model. The record is from RNAcentral.